RNAcentral lists this long non-coding RNA (225 nucleotides) under Nicotiana benthamiana. RNAcentral's name for it is "long non-coding RNA (NBEN_LNC041122)". Lineage: Eukaryota; Viridiplantae; Streptophyta; Magnoliopsida; Solanales; Solanaceae. The record is from RNAcentral.
GGCACCACUGUACUCCACCUCCACUCAUCCGGCAUCCUUUUGGUCCUGAAGAUCACAUUGAAUAACCUGGAGAGCCAUUUCACUCCUGACCUACCCAUGCACUUCCAGAACUCCACCGUGAUCUCGUCAGGCCCGGUCGCUCGACCCCUACGCAUCCUAUGCAAAGCCCUCAUGACCUCCUCCGCCCUAAUGCGCCUGCAGUACCCAAGGUCUCUAUGUUGCUNN